GAUACCCUGGUAGUCCACGCUGUAACGAUGAUGCUAAGUGUUAGAGGUUUCCGCCCUUUAGUGCUGAAGUUAACGCAUUAAGCACUCCGCUGGGGAGUACGUCGCAAGACUGAAAUCAAAGGAAUUGACGGGGGCCCGCACAAGUGUGGAGCAUGUGGUUUAAUUCGAAGCAACGCGAAGAACCUUACCAGGUCUUGACAUCCUCUGACAACCCUAGAGAUAGGGCUUUCCCUUCGGGGACAGAGUGACAGGUGGUGCAUGGUUGUCGUCAGCUCGUGUCGUGAGAUGUUGGGUUAAGUCCCGCAACGAGCGCAACCCUUGAUCUUAGUUGCCAGCAUUCAGUUGGGCACUCUAAGGUGACUGCCGGUGACAAACCGGAGGAAGGUGGGGAUGACGUCAAAUCAUCAUGCCCCUUAUGACCUGGGCUACACACGUGCUACAAUGGAUAGUACAAAGGGUUGCAAGACCGCGAGGUGGAGCUAAUCCCAUAAAACUAUUCUCAGUUCGGAUUGUAGGCUGCAACUCGCCUACAUGAAGCCGGAAUCACUAGUAAUCGCGGAUCAGCAUGCCGCGGUGAAUACGUUCCCGGGCCUUGUACACACCGCCCGUCACACCACGAGAGUUUGUAACACCCGAAGUCGGUGGGGUAACCUUUUAGGGGCCAGCCGCUA
Molecule: ribosomal RNA, 671 nt
Filed under: Gottfriedia luciferensis
Lineage: Bacteria; Bacillati; Bacillota; Bacilli; Caryophanales; Bacillaceae
Description: bacterial SSU rRNA
Rfam family: Bacterial small subunit ribosomal RNA
Source: RNAcentral